CCGACGCCCAGAUCUCUCUCUCUUUCUCUCUCUCUCUCUCUCUCUCUCUGAAGUUUUUCAGUUUUUGGUUCUUUGUUCCGGCGCUACCUCCGCGGCUUUCCUACAUGCCUACUUUGUUUCCCUACAUGCCUACUUUGUUUUCUUUCAAGAGUUUCUUUCUCUGGUUCAGUUCUUAUAUUCCCAGUAAAAUUAGCGCAUUGAUAGCUUUCUAGGGUUUUAUAUAUAGAUGGAGAAGCCAUUAAAGCAGCUCUCAACACAGGAAUGGGAGGUUCUGAUCGACGAUUUCCAAUCUGGAGCCCCUCGUCGAGAAAGAUGGCUCUCACAGUACUCAGGUCUUGCCCUUCUCGAAGUCUCUCUCUCCUCCAUUCUCAGAAAGGAUUUCCCGCUCAAGCUCCAGCUCAUUGUUUUCCUCGAAGAGUUCGCAGACGUCUUGAUUAGAGAAUUCGAGGUCGAAGAGGCUUUGGGCCGAUUAAUCGAAGCUCUUCGUGCUGUAGUUCAAGCACCCAUGGAUGGAAUCUCAGUGACGUAUUCCCUUAAGGAACAGAUGAUGAUUUCGGUUACAUCGGUUGUUAUCACCAUUGAUGGAUUCAAGAGUGCAAUUCGGCAUGUCGAGAGCUUGACCGAAUUGCUCUUGACGGUUAUUAAUAGGCCGAACCACGGCUUGGAUCGGCAGACCAGAGCAAUUGCCUGUGUGUGCUUGAGGGAAUUAGAGAGAAACUACCCUUGUUUGCUUGCUGAGAUUGCCGGUCAUUUGUGGAGCUUGUGUCAGAGCGAGAGGACUCAUGCUUCACAGAGCUACAUUCUAUUGUUAACGUCUGUGAUCCACGAUCUCGUGAUCUCAAAAACGAAUGUUUCGAUUCUCACCACAUCAGUUCCUCUGGUGCCUUUCAAUGUUCCACAUUCACUCCUUGCGACAGGGGAAGCAGGUUCAAGUUCAGGUUUGAAUAAGGAGCUUUCAGUUUCGAAUAUCAGGGAGCUUCGGAAAGUGAUGGCUUUCUUGCUGGAAAGGCCCCAGAUUCUAACCCCCUGUGGAAUGAUAGAAUUCAUGUCAAUGCUAAUGCGCGUUGCAGUGGCUCUGGAGUUGCAGGCAUCUCUGUUGAAGGUGCAAUUCUCUGGCCUGCUUUACUCGUAUGAUCCUAUCCUAUGCCAUGUUGUUCUCAUGCUAUAUUCGCGUUUCUCAGAUGCAUUUGAUGGACAAGAGGCUGAGAUUGCGCGGCGUCUGAUGCUAAUUUCAAGGGAAGUUCAACAUCAUCUGGUUUUCCGCUUACUUGCUAUCCACUGGUUGUUGGGUUUUGUUGGUUUGACACAGAGGAGAGAACUAACAAAGAAAAAUCCCAUUUUCAAUAUGGUAUUGAGCUUUUACCCCACUGUAUUUGAUCCACUUGCGCUGAAAGCGUUGAAGCUAGAUAUCCUUGCCUACUGUGCCAUUUGUCUUGACCUCUCGAGGACCGAAAAUCCCAGUGGUGUUUUAAGUGAAGAAGUGAACACUGAAGUUUCUGUGGUGAAACUCUUUGAAGACGGUCAUGUCUCUGUUUCCGCAUUCAAAUGGUUGCCCCCAUGGAGCACAGAAACUGCAGUGGCAUUCCGUACCUUCCAUAAGUUCUUGAUAGGCGCCACCCCUCAUUCUAUUUGUGAUUCUUCGACCAUUAGGGUUCUGAUGGAGUCUACCAUCUUUCACAGGUUACAGAGGAUGCUAGUGAACAUGGCAUUAGAGUUCCGAAGACUCGUUCCAGUAAUCGUUGCUUUCAUUGACCGUUUGUUGGGCUGUCACUCACAUUGUUGGUUGGGGGAGCGCCUGCUCCAGACAUUUGAUGAGCAUAUGCUUCCAAAGGUCAUAAAGGACUACCAGUUGGCUUCUUACUUCCCAAUUUUCAAUAGGAUUGCUGAGAAUGAUACCAUACCUCCUCAUGGAUUGUUAGAGUUACUUACUUCAUUUGUAGUUGCUCUAGUGGAGAAACAUGGACCAGAUACAGGAAUGAAGUCAUGGUCUCUGGGAAGUAAAGUUCUUGGUAUUUGUCGGACAAUGCUCAUGCAUCAUAAUAGCUCCAGAGUUUUCUUUACACUUACCCACCUUCUGGCAUUCACUUGCCUGUACUUUCCUGAUCUAGAGAUUCGGGACAAUGCAAGGAUCUACUUGCGGAUGCUCGUAUGCAUACCAGGAAAGAAGCUUAGGGACAUACUAAACCUUGGGGAACAACUUCCUAGUAUUUCACCAUCACAACCUGGUAGUUCAUUUCUCCAUGCUGAAUUUCCUCAGCCAUAUGAUGAUCUUAGGAAAUCUAGGAAUCUGUCAUCCUAUAUCUACCUUGAGAGGGUGAUUCCAUUGCUUGUCAAACAAUCAUGGUCCUUGUCUCUACCUACAUUCAGUGUUGGUGAUGAAGGAACCAGCUACUUGGAGGGCAUUGGAGACAGUGAAGCCCCUGUAGAUGUGGAAACAGAACCUGAAGGCAGUUCUGAUGUCCAGAUUGUUUCAAAUACUGAAAGAAAUCGCCAGUCACCGGAGCCAUUGCGUGUGAUGGAUACAAAAGUUUCAGAGAUUUUGGUGAUAUUACGGAGGCACUUUUCAUGCAUCCCUGAUUUUCGACACAUGCCAGGAAUCAAAAUUAGAAUACCUUGUAUUAUUAGAUUUGAAGCUGAGCCCUUCAAUCGCAUAUGGGGUUUACCUGCUACUAAUUUGGAUGGAGUGGAUGCAUUGGCUAUGCCAGCCAUAUAUGCGACUGUACUCACAUUUUCAUCUUCUUCACCGUAUGGGUCUAUUCCAUCGUGCCACAUACCUUUUCUUCUUGGUGAAUCUCUCAGAAAAGAUCAUACUUCAGAGAAAAGGGAUUGUCUUGAUAUUGUUCUGGUGGAAAAUGAAUCUCAAUCUCAAGAGGAGGAAAACUUCAGAGUCCCAGUGGUGGUUGAAUUGGAGCCUCGAGAACCAAUGCCUGGUCUAGUGGAUGUUUCCAUUGAAGCAAAUGCAGAGAGUGGACAAAUCAUCCAUGGUCAUCUUCAAAGCAUCUCAGUGGGCAUUGAGGAUAUGUUUCUCAAGGCUAAUGUUCCAUCUGACAUCCCAGAAGAUGAAGUUCCUUGCUAUUACUCAGACUUGUUUGUUGCUUUGUGGGAGGCAUGUGGUAACUCAUCAAACAUUGGACGGGAGACAUUUCCUUUGAGAGGAGGCAAAUGCUCUGCAGCUAUCAGUGGAACUCAGUCAGUCAAGCUACUGGAAGUUCCCUCAGGGUCUCUUAUUCCAGCUGUUGAGCGCCACUUGGCACCCUUUAUUGUAAGUGUGACUGGGAGACCUCUCAUCAAUAGGAUGAAGGAUGGUGGGGUCAUCGGGGAUAUCAUCUGGAAAGAUGAGACACUAGAUUCUGUCCUUGAUACUACCUCAGCAACUGAUUUUAAUGGUGGUCCACUUCAGCUUGAGUAUGUUGGUGAAAGUGGCAGAGAAAAUCAUUUCAGCAUUAGUAAGAGAGACAUGGGACAUAUUCUCAUUCUCAUAUUUCUCCCACCAAGAUUCCAUCUUCUUUUUCAGAUGGAGGUAUGUGAUAUAUCAACAUUAGUUCGAAUUAGAACUGAUCAUUGGCCAUGCCUAGCUUAUAUAGAUGAAUAUUUGGAGGCUUUGUUUUUCACUUAAAACAAAAUUACUUUUAUCAUCUCUCUGCUACAUCAGCAUCAAUUUGGUUCUUGCCAAAGCAUCCCUUCUGCACUCAAGUUCAUGAAGGUCGCCACAGUCUUCUUCACCACCUUCCUCUUCCUUGUUACCUUCUGUUAGGAACUGCCUAACUCGGGGACUUUUUCGAGGAAGCCUCUCACACAAUCAAAUCUCUCUCCGAUGAACCCAUUGCAGGUAAAUAAACCCACUUAUUUUUCCUUCCCCCAAGCCCAUAAUAUUGUCACAAACAUCUAAUACAUAGCCAUACAUAUCUACCCAACUCAUCCAUACACCAUGGACAUAUGUCAAGUGUAACUAUCAAGGAAAAUAGCAUACAAAUAAGAGCAAAUAAAAUUGCAUUCAUCAUACAUCUCUCCCCAAAUCCAUCCAUUCACCAUGUACAUAUGUCAAGUGUAACUAUCAAGGAAAAAAGCAUACAAAUA
This is a non-coding RNA of Nelumbo nucifera (sacred lotus), 4077 nucleotides long. The record is from RefSeq and is a predicted model, not a curated record. NCBI's taxonomy places the organism in Eukaryota, Viridiplantae, Streptophyta, Magnoliopsida, Proteales, Nelumbonaceae.